GUACCGGUAGCUCAGAGGUAGAGCAGCGGGCCCUUAACCCGAAGGUCGUGGGUUCGACCCCCACCCGGUUCU
This 72-nucleotide transfer RNA is filed under the name Salipiger mucosus DSM 16094. It matches the Rfam family "tRNA". From Rfam's summary of the family: Transfer RNA (tRNA) molecules are approximately 80 nucleotides in length. Their secondary structure includes four short double-helical elements and three loops (D, anti-codon, and T loops). Lineage: Bacteria; Pseudomonadati; Pseudomonadota; Alphaproteobacteria; Rhodobacterales; Roseobacteraceae. The record is from Rfam by way of RNAcentral.